GGAGCCACAACUUAAGAAGACAUAUGAAGGUGGGGUGACAGGAAUGUGAGAGACACCCAGCAACUUCAUUUUGAAGAGUCACGAAGGAAUGGAGGGUGUUUAGCCAAGAAGGGAAAAGGCAUGGGGAGCUGUCUCGUACAAUUUGAAGGAAGAAGUUAUAUGAAUGAAAUCAACCACUCCAAAGCCAACCAGAUGGCAGAAUUAGAAGCGCAGAUCCUGCUUGAUCUUCUUUACAAAAAUCAGGCAUUUUGCAGAAAGUUCUGCUUGGGAUGAAAGGCAGAACCAAAUGACCACUACAGAACCCUCCAAAUGGGAGACCUCUUACCUGGACCACACUUUGGAGAAACUACCCACACAUUUUCAUAUUCAGACUGGCAAAGUGAUAUGAAAGAAGGGCCUUUGGUUACAACGUAGGCUGUAAAAUCAUGUUGAAGUCAAACCAAAUCAAAAGAGCCCAUAGCAUUUAUGGCUCUUCCUUCCUCUUCUUGUUGGCUCGGAUACACAAGUAUUUAUUUCCUCCCCAGGGUUCCUAACAGUGGAUGGAGAGUAACACGGUCUGCUUCAGCACUGCCCCAGCGCCAUGGGUCAUGCUCCUCCAACCGCAGAGUUAGGAGCAUUCAUGGAAAAUGUCACUCCGAAGAUAGCAACACUGCCUGAGUCACGGUUUGAUUGAAUCUGUAGAAUAAUGUAAUAGGAACUAUGUUCUCCACAAAAGUCACAAGGCAAUAAUGACAACAGGAGUCGGGGCCGAAAGAUGCCAAACAUUCUGUCCAAGUCAAUGAGGCAAACAGACAGGUUAAUGCACUCAGUGCUGCAGGCAUUGACUUCCUUGGAGGGAAUGGCAAUUUCCUGAAAAACUGCAGGGAUAAAAUCUAUUGUUUAUAGUAAACGUGGCCAAAUGUAUUGUAGCUCUGGGGGGCUAAGUGGGCCAUCAAAAGAACAACAAUGCAG
This is a long non-coding RNA of Herpailurus yagouaroundi (jaguarundi), 951 nucleotides long. RefSeq lists it as uncharacterized. The record is from RefSeq and is a predicted model, not a curated record. Lineage: Eukaryota; Metazoa; Chordata; Mammalia; Carnivora; Felidae. The transcript has 3 exons.